Molecule: long non-coding RNA, 527 nt
Organism: Lactuca sativa (garden lettuce)
Lineage: Eukaryota; Viridiplantae; Streptophyta; Magnoliopsida; Asterales; Asteraceae
Source: RefSeq, a predicted model, not a curated record
UACAUUUGUGUUGGGUUGGGGCUUUGGGGGCUGGACCUUAUGGCUAUUGUUGGUUGAUAACCACCAACUAUGCACCACUCUCAUUAAAUACGGUCAUACAAGGCAUACCCUUCUUUAUACCAUAUAUCCUCAUUGGCUUUGUUUCUUUUCUGUUACUUUUAGUUUUAGAAAAAACCACCUCCACACAUAGAAGAGAUGUCAGAAGCACCAAAGAUACAAGUGAUGUCAUCCCAUCAUCAAAUCCAACAACGGAAGGAUGAAAGGGGCUACAUAUAUGCCUGUUUCUUCACAAUGUUUUGCUGUUGUUGCUGCCCGGAAAUGUGUCAUGGGUGUCUGGAUGGUGAUUGUUGCUGCUGCAAGUAGCCCAUAUAACUAUGUCUAAACCCGUGUUUCCUAUUCAUUUUCCACAUGUAUCUAUUUUUAAACACCAAUCUUUUCUACCUAUAUAUAUGUAUCUUAACACAUUCUAUUUGCUGUGUAUCAACGAUAUCGAAAUGUUAAAAGUUGUAAUAUAUAUUAAUUGUUAA